CAAUUGAUAGCCUCGUUUGCAAUUCUAUCAACUAUUUCAUUUCCUUUAAUUCCGCAAUGGCUAGGUAUCCAUACAAAUGAUACUGUAAGAUUUUGAUCCAUACAUCUCAUUAACAAUUUUCUGCAGUCUAAGAGAAUAGGGUAAAUAGGUUGAGAUUUAAAAGGAAAUUUUGCAAGAGCCUGUAAAGCACUCUUUGAAUCGGGAUUUGAAAACGAAUUUAUCAGAUAAAUAUUGACGUCUCAAAUGAAGAGGAGGAUCAACACAUUCUACCUGUAAUGCUGUAACAGGACUAGAUUUCAUGGCUCCAGUGAUAAUUCGGAGCGCUUUAGACUGUAUAGAGUCUAGUUUUUUGAAAGCAUUCACAUCCCCUGGUUGAAGUAAAAAAGUACCAUAAUCUAAAACUGAUCUUACUAUGGCAUUAUAUAAAAGUUUUAAAUUGAAUGGGUGGGCACCCCACCAUACACCGGCAAGAGAACGCAAGAUAUUCAUAUUACUCAAACACUUGUUUGUAAUGUAAUUACAAUGUUGAAUUCCAUUUAAUUUUGAAUCUAAAAUUAAACCUAAAAAUUUAACAUGACUGUUUACAGAAAUUAAUUCAUUCUCAUAGAAUAUAUUAAUUG
Molecule: long non-coding RNA, 620 nt
Organism: Bombyx mori (domestic silkworm)
Lineage: Eukaryota; Metazoa; Arthropoda; Insecta; Lepidoptera; Bombycidae
Exons: 2
Source: RefSeq, a predicted model, not a curated record